RNAcentral lists this ribosomal RNA (1353 nucleotides) under Vibrio sp. 1ta2. Its description in RNAcentral is "16S ribosomal RNA". It matches the Rfam family "Bacterial small subunit ribosomal RNA", at positions 90 to 1439 of the family's 1533-position model. The record is from RNAcentral. Lineage: Bacteria; Pseudomonadati; Pseudomonadota; Gammaproteobacteria; Vibrionales; Vibrionaceae.
GUCGAGCGGCGGACGGGUGAGUAAUGCCUAGGAAAUUGCCCUGAUGUGGGGGAUAACCAUUGGAAACGAUGGCUAAUACCGCAUAAUGCCUACGGGCCAAAGAGGGGGACCUUCGGGCCUCUCGCGUCAGGAUAUGCCUAGGUGGGAUUAGCUAGUUGGUGAGGUAAUGGCUCACCAAGGCGACGAUCCCUAGCUGGUCUGAGAGGAUGAUCAGCCACACUGGAACUGAGACACGGUCCAGACUCCUACGGGAGGCAGCAGUGGGGAAUAUUGCACAAUGGGCGCAAGCCUGAUGCAGCCAUGCCGCGUGUGUGAAGAAGGCCUUCGGGUUGUAAAGCACUUUCAGUCGUGAGGAAGGUGGUAGUGUUAAUAGCACUAUCAUUUGACGUUAGCGACAGAAGAAGCACCGGCUAACUCCGUGCCAGCAGCCGCGGUAAUACGGAGGGUGCGAGCGUUAAUCGGAAUUACUGGGCGUAAAGCGCAUGCAGGUGGUUUGUUAAGUCAGAUGUGAAAGCCCGGGGCUCAACCUCGGAAUAGCAUUUGAAACUGGCAGACUAGAGUACUGUAGAGGGGGGUAGAAUUUCAGGUGUAGCGGUGAAAUGCGUAGAGAUCUGAAGGAAUACCGGUGGCGAAGGCGGCCCCCUGGACAGAUACUGACACUCAGAUGCGAAAGCGUGGGGAGCAAACAGGAUUAGAUACCCUGGUAGUCCACGCCGUAAACGAUGUCUACUUGGAGGUUGUGGCCUUGAGCCGUGGCUUUCGGAGCUAACGCGUUAAGUAGACCGCCUGGGGAGUACGGUCGCAAGAUUAAAACUCAAAUGAAUUGACGGGGGCCCGCACAAGCGGUGGAGCAUGUGGUUUAAUUCGAUGCAACGCGAAGAACCUUACCUACUCUUGACAUCCAGAGAACUUUCCAGAGAUGGAUUGGUGCCUUCGGGAACUCUGAGACAGGUGCUGCAUGGCUGUCGUCAGCUCGUGUUGUGAAAUGUUGGGUUAAGUCCCGCAACGAGCGCAACCCUUAUCCUUGUUUGCCAGCGAGUAAUGUCGGGAACUCCAGGGAGACUGCCGGUGAUAAACCGGAGGAAGGUGGGGACGACGUCAAGUCAUCAUGGCCCUUACGAGUAGGGCUACACACGUGCUACAAUGGCGCAUACAGAGGGCAGCAAGCUAGCGAUAGUGAGCGAAUCCCAAAAAGUGCGUCGUAGUCCGGAUUGGAGUCUGCAACUCGACUCCAUGAAGUCGGAAUCGCUAGUAAUCGUGGAUCAGAAUGCCACGGUGAAUACGUUCCCGGGCCUUGUACACACCGCCCGUCACACCAUGGGAGUGGGCUGCAAAAGAAGUAGGUAGUUUAAC